This 301-nucleotide unclassified non-coding RNA is filed under the name uncultured fungus. RNAcentral describes it as "sequence contains ITS1". The record is from RNAcentral. Lineage: Eukaryota; Fungi.
GUAUUAAUAUUAUAACAAAAGGCAUUGCUGCCUUUUGAUAACACAUUCAAAGACUGCAAAAGUAGGGUGUAUUGUAAAAUACAUAGACACUGAACAAGCAAAGGCAGCCUUGACAGCAAACCCUCAACAACAACAAAAAACAAUGGCUGUUUGUUUUUUUUAUCCAGCAUCUACAAAAAGUGCACAGGUGGGUUGGAGAUAAAUAGUUUGAAAGGUGUGCACAUUGCUCCUAAGAGCCAGCUACAACCCCCCAAAUUAUAUUUAUUCAAUAAUGAUCCUUCCGCAGGUUCACCUACGGAAA